AGGCAUUGAAAAAUGUCGAAGGUGUCGCUAUUGGUGUUUGGCCUAACAAUAUUGCCAUUAAUUCCGACGAUGUCGAAGCAACUCCUUUUGCUAACUCCAAAUCAGAUGGUCAAGGGUCGGAGGUGGAAAUAUUAGUUGGAAAAAAUUGGAAUCCCUAAUUCCAAUCCACCGAAGAGAAGGGAAGUUUCUAUAAUCCCCAAUUUAACUUCACUGCCCAUAACUUGUCGUGCAAUCUAUUGGAGGGAGAUGUGCAUAUGUUGGAGAGGUAGAGUUUGACCAUGCUAUAUAAAGGUCUCUAAGAUUUCCUGAAUAAGGUUAUAAUGUUAGCAUGUUCGGUUAGUUUAAAAAUGAAAGAGUCUCCAAUGGCCGAAAAAAAGAAGAAAAACAAGUCCAAAAGCUCCAACAAGAAUUGAAUCACCUUCAAUUUGAUGUAACUGAGAUCGAUCAACUACAUUCGGAGGCAAAUGAGUGGUCCAAGAAGAAGGCAACCUUAUCCUUUCUUAUCAAGGAGAUAGACAACGAGCUUCUACAUCUAAAAGAAAGAGAAGACUGUUGAAGAUGGAUGAAGCUUCCUCUCUACCUAGUUUUAGUGUGUGUUUGAUGUAGAAAAUAUCUAGUUUGAUUUGAAGUGUGUAAUAGGUUUAGAUGAUCUUGUAUUUAG
This 661-nucleotide long non-coding RNA is filed under the name Phaseolus vulgaris (common bean). Its description in RNAcentral is "long non-coding RNA (PVUL_LNC004371)". The record is from RNAcentral. Lineage: Eukaryota; Viridiplantae; Streptophyta; Magnoliopsida; Fabales; Fabaceae.